GGGGCCCCAGUUGGAAGG
RNAcentral lists this unclassified non-coding RNA (18 nucleotides) under Mus musculus (house mouse). RNAcentral's name for it is "oocyte_clustered_small_RNA8119". The record is from RNAcentral. Lineage: Eukaryota; Metazoa; Chordata; Mammalia; Rodentia; Muridae.